This is a long non-coding RNA of Taeniopygia guttata (zebra finch), 2165 nucleotides long. NCBI's taxonomy places the organism in Eukaryota, Metazoa, Chordata, Aves, Passeriformes, Estrildidae. The record is from Ensembl.
UGAAAACAAAUAGCUUUUGUGGUUGAUUAAGAGCAGUGACACUACUGAAACACUUGAUAAGUGCAGAAUUCAUUUACUACCUGCAAACCUCUCUGCCAUUUUUUUUUUCUUUUGACAAGAUAAGGUUUUAAAGUGUGUUUUUCUUAUUCCUCCAGUUUUCCUUUCAUGUUUGCUUGAGGCAGUUGCUGUAGUGUCUUGAAUUGGUAUUAGCAGAAUAAUCCUUGGAUGACUAAAUACUUGGUUGGGCUAAAUUCAGAGCAGCUGCUGUAUCAGGCUGUGAUAGGAUGGACCUCAAGGUCAAAACCCAAUGCUCUUCUGAAGACAUCCCGUAAUGGUAACAAAAGGUAUAGUUGCAGAUCUAUUCAUAACUCCUUAACUUUGAUGCAUUGCUAAGAUGAUAGGCUAUGGUAAUAUUAAUAAUUUCAAUUAUGUUUCUCUGACAGAGAAGGAAGAUUGAAAACUCAAGCAUGAUGAACAAGAUGAGGCAAACACUGUUCACUUUGGCUGGAGAGCCUGGCUGUAUGAAGGAUGGGCCCCAUUUUCCAACCUUCCCACAGAAGCAAGGUUACAAGCAUUGGACUGUGAAAGUGGCUGCAAAUAUUUGUGAACUGAAGCCCAUUUUACAGAUGGCAAUAGGAAGUCAGAGUGUGGAGCAUGGUCAGGAGGACUUCCAGGCUGCACAGGACAGAGGAGAGAAGACCAUGAGCCUCAGACUGGGGUGGUGGUAACAGGACCCUGAGUUUCCUGGCAUGGACAAGACACUGGCAUUUGCUGAGGCGGUGCCUGGGCAGAUACAGGAGGGCAUCCGAGCCAAGACAUUGCAGAUCACAUUCAAAAGGGGCUCAGGGUUCUUGGAGAUGAUCAGCAUUAGGUAAAAGCUGAGCACAGAGGAUAUACAUUGUUUUCUUCUCUUUUUGACACUGUGCACUUUUGGGGGACCAGGCAAUGGCUCUGCUUGUGCUGUGUUGCUCAGUCUCACUGUAGCCAGCAUUGUGUCCCAGGAGAGCAAAGUUUACCUUCAGGCUGGUGCUUUUGACUAAUAAAGUGUAUUCCACCUGGGAGCUGGGUCUCACAGAGGGGAGCUGGUUCCCACAUGAGCCUAGGAGAGGAUGGGACCAUAAUGGGUGUGUUUGUCAGGGGCUCUAGAAAAGUGCAAGGCACUGCACCCCCAGGAGAAAGUGAUAGGAAUAGGAAUGGUACAGGAAGCAUUAAUCUGAAAGUGGGAUGAAACCUAGUUUUGCCAUGGUCAAGACAUCCCAGGAUUUCAAUCAGCUGUUCAUCUACAGAGACAUCAGGGCCAUUAUCUUCCUUUACCAUGAAGCUGGCUGGAUGCCUCAGUUUGACAUUUAUUUCACUCAUUUUUCUACCUUGUAAUUUCCAAACCUCAAUUUGGAAAACAUUUACAACAAGGCCACUGAAUGCACCCCUUCAUUUAACCUUACUGUAGAAAACUAGACAGGCUUCUCAGGUUCACUUACGUAAAAAAUAGAUCUUUUGGUUAUGCCAUGCUUGAACAAGAUCAUAGCAGAGGCUGGAUCACAACUGCUAGAAGCACCAAGCUCAUGCAAUGGGUUUAAAUAUCAGUGGCUCCAUCACAUAUGACUUCCUCUCCCUCUAAUCAAAUCUUUGAUAUUGCUGUAUUCUAUGCAUUUUCAUACUAAAAAAAAAUUAGUAUAUAUAUAUAUAUAAAAGUCACCUUAUGGUCACUUGAAUAAAUACAUGACUUGAAUAAAUACGUACCUUUUAAUGUCAGAAGCACAAAAAGACUGCGUGGUUUUACAGAGGAUGUGUGCUUUGGUGCUGACAUCUUUCUCUUUUGGUCUCAGUUACGUGCAAAUGACCUGGAAAGAGGCAGACAAGAGACAUAGGUCUUUGUCAUGUUUCAUUAGCAUUUAACUGUUUAAGAAAAUGAAACAAGAAAGCUAAAAUGCUGUGAAGGGAAAAAAAAAAAAAAACAAACAAAAAACCAACAAACCAAGCAAAAUAUCCUAGGGAAAUUUGGAAUUAUUCUGUGAUAUUUUUGAAACAGACCAAACUUCAAGAUAAGAUCAUAAAAUAUCACAAAAAUACUCUCAUUAAAGUAAGGAAGAGUGGCAAAGAUUGGAAAAUUAAUGUAAGGAGAUAGAAAGUAGCAGAGUGCACAAAAUAUAAAUAAUUCAAACAAG